RNAcentral lists this ribosomal RNA (467 nucleotides) under uncultured bacterium. RNAcentral's name for it is "partial 16S ribosomal RNA". It matches the Rfam family "Bacterial small subunit ribosomal RNA", at positions 28 to 507 of the family's 1533-position model. The record is from RNAcentral.
GAUGAACGCUGGCGGCGUGCUUAACACAUGCAAGUCGAACGGUGAAGCAGAGCUUGCUCUGUGGAUCAGUGGCGAACGGGUGAGUAACACGUGAGCAACCUGCCCCUGACUCUGGGAUAAGCGCUGGAAACGGCGUCUAAUACUGGAUAUGAGCUGCGACCGCAUGGUCAGCAGUUGGAAAGAUUUUUCGGUCUGGGAUGGGCUCACGGCCUAUCAGCUUGUUGGUGAGGUAAUGGCUCACCAAGGCGUCGACGGGUAGCCGGCCUGAGAGGGUGACCAGCCACACUGGGACUGAGACACGGCCCAGACUCCUACGGGAGGCAGCAGUGGGGAAUAUUGCACAAUGGGCGAAAGCCUGAUGCAGCAACGCCGCGUGAGGGAUGACGGCCUUCGGGUUGUAAACCUCUUUUAGCAGGGAAGAAGCGAAAGUGACGGUACCUGCAGAAAAAGCGCCGGCUAACUACGUG